This is an unclassified non-coding RNA of Otolemur garnettii (small-eared galago), 102 nucleotides long. It matches the Rfam family "Y RNA". Rfam says of the family: Y RNAs are components of the Ro ribonucleoprotein particle (Ro RNP), in association with Ro60 and La proteins. The Y RNAs and Ro60 and La proteins are well conserved, but the function of the Ro RNP is not known. The record is from Ensembl. Lineage: Eukaryota; Metazoa; Chordata; Mammalia; Primates; Galagidae.
GGCUGGUCCUAGUACAGAGCUGUCUACAGCUGACUGACUACAACCAGUUAUAGAUUUCUUUGGUCCUUCUCUGCUCCCACUGCUUUACUUGACUCGCCUUUA